AUUGAACGCUGGCGGCAUGAUUUACACAUGCAAGUCGAACGGUAACAGGCCGCAAGGUGCUGACGAGUGGCGAACGGGUGAGUAAUGCAUCGGAACGUGCCCAGUCGUGGGGGAUAACUACUCGAAAGAGUAGCUAAUACCGCAUACGAUCUAUGGAUGAAAGCGGGGGACCGUAAGGCCUCGCGCGAUUGGAGCGGCCGAUGUCAGAUUAGGUAGUUGGUGGGGUAAAGGCUCACCAAGCCAACGACCUGUAGCUGGUCUGAGAGGACGACCAGCCACACUGGGACUGAGACACGGCCCAGACUCCUACGGGAGGCAGCAGUGGGGAAUUUUGGACAAUGGGCGCAAGCCUGAUCCAGCAAUGCCGCGUGCAGGAAGAAGGCCUUCGGGUUGUAAACUGCUUUUGUACGGAACGAAACGGCUCUGGUUAAUACCCGGGGCUAAUGACGGUACCGUAAGAAUAAGCACCGGCUAACUACGUG
This 482-nucleotide ribosomal RNA is filed under the name uncultured bacterium. RNAcentral's name for it is "partial 16S ribosomal RNA". It matches the Rfam family "Bacterial small subunit ribosomal RNA", at positions 30 to 507 of the family's 1533-position model. The record is from RNAcentral.